GCGCCCGUAGCUCAGUUGACAGAGCAGUAGAACGGUACCCCACGGUCCGAGUUCAAGUCCCGGCGGUCGCA
Non-coding RNA from Phthorimaea operculella (potato tuberworm), 71 nucleotides. Lineage: Eukaryota; Metazoa; Arthropoda; Insecta; Lepidoptera; Gelechiidae. The record is from the annotation of a GenBank genome assembly.